RNAcentral lists this ribosomal RNA (1123 nucleotides) under uncultured Gammaproteobacteria bacterium. RNAcentral describes it as "bacterial SSU rRNA". It matches the Rfam family "Bacterial small subunit ribosomal RNA", at positions 9 to 1130 of the family's 1533-position model. The record is from RNAcentral. Lineage: Bacteria; Pseudomonadati; Pseudomonadota; Gammaproteobacteria.
GAGUUUGAUCCUGGCUCAGAUUGAACGCUGGCGGCAGGCCUAACACAUGCAAGUCGAGCGGUAACAGAUCCAGCUUGCUGGAUGCUGACGAGCGGCGGACGGGUGAGUAAUGCAUAGGAAUCUGCCCGAUAGUGGGGGAUAACCUGGGAAACCCAGGCUAAUACCGCAUACGUCCUACGGGAGAAAGGGGGCUCCGGCUCCCGCUACGGGAUGAGCCUAUGUCGGAUUAGCUAGUUGGUGAGGUAACGGCUCACCAAGGCGACGAUCCGUAGCUGGUCUGAGAGGAUGAUCAGCCACAUCGGGACUGAGACACGGCCCGAACUCCUACGGGAGGCAGCAGUGGGGAAUAUUGGACAAUGGGGGAAACCCUGAUCCAGCCAUGCCGCGUGUGUGAAGAAGGCCCUCGGGUUGUAAAGCACUUUCAGCGGGGAAGAACGCCUAGCGGUUAAUACCCGCUAGGAAAGACAUCACUCGCAGAAGAAGCACCGGCUAACUCCGUGCCAGCAGCCGCGGUAAUACGGAGGGUGCAAGCGUUAAUCGGAAUUACUGGGCGUAAAGCGCGCGUAGGUGGCUUGAUAAGCCGGUUGUGAAAGCCCCGGGCUCAACCUGGGAACGGCAUCCGGAACUGUCAAGCUAGAGUGCAGGAGAGGAAGGUAGAAUUCCCGGUGUAGCGGUGAAAUGCGUAGAGAUCGGGAGGAAUACCAGUGGCGAAGGCGGCCUUCUGGACUGACACUGACACUGAGGUGCGAAAGCGUGGGUAGCAAACAGGAUUAGAUACCCUGGUAGUCCACGCCGUAAACGAUGUCGACCAGCCGUUGGGUGCCUAGCGCACUUUGUGGCGAAGUUAACGCGAUAAGUCGACCGCCUGGGGAGUACGGCCGCAAGGUUAAAACUCAAAUGAAUUGACGGGGGCCCGCACAAGCGGUGGAGCAUGUGGUUUAAUUCGAUGCAACGCGAAGAACCUUACCUACUCUUGACAUCCUGCGAAUUUGGUAGAGAUACCUUAGUGCCUUCGGGAACGCAGAGACAGGUGCUGCAUGGCUGUCGUCAGCUCGUGUUGUGAAAUGUUGGGUUAAGUCCCGUAACGAGCGCAACCCUUGUCCUUAUUUGCCAGCGCGUAAUG